UUUAACGGCCGCGGUAUUUUAACCGUGCAAAGGUAGCGCAAUCACUUGUCCUUUAAAUGAAGACCUGUAUGAAUGGCAUAACGAGGGCUUUACUGUCUCCCCUUUCUAGUCAAUGAAAUUGAUCUGCCCGUGCAGAAGCGGACAUAAUACUAUAAGACGAGAAGACCCUUUGGAGCUUAAGAUACGCGCCAACUAUGUUAUAAGCUUUUAACUAGCCUUAAACUUAAUAGAAAUGGCCCACGUCUUCAGUUGGGGCGACAAUGGAGAAGAACAAAACCUCCACGCGGCAUGGAACACCUCCCAAAAUUAAGAGCCACCUCUCUAAACCUCAGAAUUUCUGACCAAUAGAUCCGGCAACCGCCGAUCAACGAACCAAGUUACCCAAGGGAUAACAGCGCAAUCCUCUUCUAGAGUCCCUAUCGACAAGAGGGUUUACGACCUCGAUGUUGGAUCAGGAUAUCCUAAUGGUGCAGCCGCUAUUAAGGGCUCGUUUGUUCAACGAUUAAAAUCCUAC
This 514-nucleotide ribosomal RNA is filed under the name Microsternarchus bilineatus. RNAcentral's name for it is "partial 16S ribosomal RNA". It matches the Rfam family "Bacterial large subunit ribosomal RNA", at positions 1923 to 2599 of the family's 2925-position model. The record is from RNAcentral. Lineage: Eukaryota; Metazoa; Chordata; Actinopteri; Gymnotiformes; Hypopomidae.